AUGCCGCUGGCAGGCCAUCGCGUUCUCAUACGCUGCGUGCUCUCAGCCGUGCCGACUUUCGCGCUCACGGCGCUGCGAAUACCCAAGAAAUUCCUCAAGGAGAUAGACAAGUCACGCCAGCGUUUUCUUUGGGCGGGAGACGAAGAGAUCACGGGUGGCAAAUGCAAGGUUAGCUGGGACACGGUGACCAAGCCAGAGCACCACGGUGGGCUGGGCAUCCCUGACCUCAGUCGCUUCACCCGGGCACUGCGGCUGCGAUGGCUCUGGCUUUCCUGGAAUCAGCCAACCAGGCCCUGGGUUGGCAUUGGUAUGCCCUGUGACGCACUGACCGAGCUCUUUUUGCGGCUUCCACGACGGUGA
Molecule: ribosomal RNA, 360 nt
Filed under: Triticum aestivum (bread wheat)
Lineage: Eukaryota; Viridiplantae; Streptophyta; Magnoliopsida; Poales; Poaceae
Description: partial small subunit ribosomal RNA
Source: RNAcentral